UUGCAUUCUUGUCAGGACUGAAUGCUCUUAUUAUUAAGCAAUGAAGAAGAAACAAGAUUUUUUUAUCAUGAAAAAAAGUUGGGGUGUUACCUUCCUGUUAUUGAUGACCCAAGAAGGCAGAAGAAAAAGAAAGCAGCUCCUGUAGUUUGUGGAGCAACAGCUGUGGAACACUUUUUUCCAUCCAGAAUUGGUCCAAACCUGCCUGGAAAGCUCGCUGAGAAAACUUCAACUGAGCUACGUGGAUCUUUAUCUUAUUCAUUUCCCAACAGCUCUGAAGCCUGGAGAGGACCCAAUCCCAGAGGACAUCCAUAGAAACAUCACUUUUGACACAGUGGAUCUCUGUACCACGUGGGAGGUUUGCUCAUCAUCCAGAUUACCCAUUUCACGAGGAAUAUUAACAACUGUGUCUGUGGUUGCUCCAGAGUUCUUGCAUUCGGGUUGAUGAUCGAACCACAUCUCGAGGUGCCUGCUUUAUUAGACAUCACUUAGCCUGACCAGUUAUGAUACUAGAGUAGGAAAUAAAAAUCCCUAAACCCAGUCUUUUCCCCA
This 549-nucleotide long non-coding RNA is filed under the name Bos mutus (wild yak). RNAcentral describes it as "lncRNA (ENSBMUG00000004030.1)". Lineage: Eukaryota; Metazoa; Chordata; Mammalia; Artiodactyla; Bovidae. The record is from RNAcentral.